This 254-nucleotide ribosomal RNA is filed under the name uncultured bacterium. Its description in RNAcentral is "partial 16S ribosomal RNA". It matches the Rfam family "Bacterial small subunit ribosomal RNA", at positions 524 to 776 of the family's 1533-position model. RNAcentral also lists the same sequence under 1 other name. The record is from RNAcentral.
UACGGAAGAUCCAAGCGUUAUCCGGAAUUACUGGGCGUAAAGAGUUGCGUAGGUGGCAUAGUAAGUAGGUAGUGAAAGCCUGGGGCUCAACCCUUUAAACAUUAUCUAAACUGCUAAGCUAGAGGGCGAGAGAGGUAACUAGAAUUCCUUGUGUAGGAGUGAAAUCCGUAGAUAUAAGGAGGAAUACCGAUGGCGUAGGCAGGUUACUGGCUCGUCCCUGACACUAAGGCACGAAAGCGUGGGGAGCAAACGGG